Molecule: ribosomal RNA, 484 nt
Filed under: uncultured bacterium
Lineage: Bacteria
Description: partial 16S ribosomal RNA
Rfam family: Bacterial small subunit ribosomal RNA
Source: RNAcentral
AUUGAACGCUGGCGGCAGGCCUAACACAUGCAAGUCGAGCGGAUGAAGGUAGCUUGCUCCUGGAUUCAGCGGCGGACGGGUGAGUAAUGCCUAGGAAUCUGCCUGGUAGUGGGGGAUCACGUCCGGAAACGGGCGCUAAUACCGCAUACGUCCUGCGGGAGAAAGUGGGGGUUCUUCGGACCUCACGCUAUCAGAUGAGCCUAGGUCGGAUUAGCUAGUGGGUGGGGUAACGGCCUACCAAGGCGACGAUCCGUAACUGGUCUGAGAGGAGGAUCAGUCACAGUGGAAGUGAGACAGGGUCCAGGCUCCUACGGGAGGGAGCAGUGGGGAAGGGUGGAAAAGGGGCGAAAGCCUGAGCCAGACAUGGCGAGGGUGCGAAGAAGGUGUUCGGAUUGGGAAGGACUUUAAGUUGGGAGGAAGGGCAGUAAGUUAAUACCUAGCUGUGUUGACGUUACCAACAGAAGAAGCACCGGCUAACUUCGUG